AAAGCUUUAAGUUAAUAAAACUAUUAACCUUCAAAGUUAAAAAUAUAAAUAAAUUUUAAGCUUUA
RNAcentral lists this transfer RNA (65 nucleotides) under Sastragala esakii. RNAcentral's name for it is "tRNA-Trp". Lineage: Eukaryota; Metazoa; Arthropoda; Insecta; Hemiptera; Acanthosomatidae. The record is from RNAcentral.